CCUACGGGAGGCAGCAGUGAGGAAUAUUGGUCAAUGGCCGAGAGGCUGAACCAGCCAAGUCGCGUGAGGGAAGACUGCCCUACGGGUUGUAAACCUCUUUUGUCUGGGAGCAAAGCGAGUCACGUGUGACUCAUUGAGAGUACCCGAAGAAAAAGCAUCGGCUAACUCCGUGCCAGCAGCCGCGGUAAUACGGAGGAUGCGAGCGUUAUCCGGUUUUAUUGGGUUUAAGGGGUGCGCAGGCGGAGUUGCAAGUCAGCGGUAAAAUUGCGGGGCUCAACCCCGUACUGCAGUUGAAACUGCAUGCCUUGAGUGCGCGAGAGGUAUGCGGAAUGCGUGGUGUAGCGGUGAAAUGCAUAGAUAUCACGCAGAACUCCGAUUGCGAAGGCAGCAUACCGGCGCGCAACUGACGCUCAUGCACGAAAGCGUGGGUAUCGAACAGGAUUAGAUACCCCUGUAGUC
RNAcentral lists this ribosomal RNA (459 nucleotides) under uncultured bacterium. RNAcentral's name for it is "partial 16S ribosomal RNA". It matches the Rfam family "Bacterial small subunit ribosomal RNA", at positions 338 to 795 of the family's 1533-position model. The record is from RNAcentral.